Molecule: long non-coding RNA, 653 nt
Organism: Prunus mume (Japanese apricot)
Lineage: Eukaryota; Viridiplantae; Streptophyta; Magnoliopsida; Rosales; Rosaceae
Source: RefSeq, a predicted model, not a curated record
CUUUCGACCGUUGGAUUUAAAAGUUCUGAUCUAAUGGCUCAAAAUAAUUUGUGAAGAAAAAUCACUAAAAUCACCACACAAAAAUCUGGACAACCUGCUGUACUGGGUUUCUUUGCCUCCCAACACGUGAAAGCUUGCAGUUCAACCUGGAGAUGGCAAAUUUACAGAGCUGGGAAAAGAUGAAUGUGGGUAUUGCAAGCUCAGUCCCAGAAACCCACGCCAAAAACCAUGGCUUCUCUUCCUUCGGUACCCACCCACCCACCUAACCGACGGCAACCCCAUCUUCACUUAUCUCUCUUCGAGCUCUCAAUACGGUCAGAUCUGAAUUUCCAACCAUGGGAGACGAUAACGAGUGCGAGAGAGACCUCGACCGUCUUCGUUUGCUGCCGUCUCUUGCUCCAGUCGUCAGCUCAACUUCGCAACCAUGGCAACAUAUUUCUUCUCUUCCUCAACGCCGCCGCACAUCUGGCUCUCCAUCUCUGCCGCCGCCGAACCAUUCCGACUAGGUGCUUUUAAGUAAAAGCACAACCACUAGAUGGGAUCUCUCCUUCAUCAUAAUAUCAAACAUGAGAUGGGACCUGGCCUUUAUGAUAAUAUGGAGCUCUGUACUGUAGCAAACAGCAAGGCCACGCCGCCUGACAAAACCACAUGGA